RNAcentral lists this ribosomal RNA (514 nucleotides) under uncultured bacterium. RNAcentral's name for it is "partial 16S ribosomal RNA". It matches the Rfam family "Bacterial small subunit ribosomal RNA", at positions 29 to 523 of the family's 1533-position model. The record is from RNAcentral.
AGCGAACGCUGGCGGCGUGCCUAACACAUGCAAGUCGAACGUGAAAAGGGAAACCUGAGUAAAGUGGCGUACGGGUGAGUAACACGUAGGUAAUCUACCUAAGAGUCUUGAAUAACCUGCCGAAAGGCGGGCUAAUACGAGAUAGAGCGACGGACAUCGUAAGGAUGUCUUCGGGAAAGGGCGGCUGUUAAAGUCCCUUGCUUUUAGAUGAGCCGGCGUCCCAUUAGUUAGUUGGCGGGGUAACGGCCCACCAAGACGAUGAUGGGUAGCUGGUCUGAGAGGAUGAUCAGCCACACUGGAACUGAAACACGGUCCAGACUCCUACGGGAGGCAGCAGUGGGGAAUCUUGCGCAAUGGACGAAAGUCUGACGCAGCAACGCCGCGUGAGUGAAGAAGGCCUUCGGGUUGUAAAGCUCUGUCAAGAGGGACGAAAAGCUUUAUGGUUAAUAGCCAUGGAGCCUGACGGUACCUUUGGAGGAAGCACCGGCUAACUUCGUGCCAGCCGCCGCCGUAA